UUACGGCCAUAUAGCGUUGAAACACCGGUUCGUAUAUGAUCACCGAAAUUACGCAACGUCGAGUCUGGUUCGUACUUAGAUGUAUGACCGCUUAGGAAUACCAGGUGCUGUAAG
Acanthosepion pharaonis is the source of this 114-nucleotide non-coding RNA. The record is from the annotation of a GenBank genome assembly. NCBI's taxonomy places the organism in Eukaryota, Metazoa, Mollusca, Cephalopoda, Sepiida, Sepiidae.